AAACAUUGCUUUAUGUUUUUUUAUAAGGUUAACCCUGCUCAAUGAUAUAUUAAAUAGCCGCAGUACUUUGACUGUGCAAAGGUAGCAUAAUCAUUUGGCUUAUAAUUGAAGUCUGGAAUGAAUGGGAGUAUGGGUAGUUACUGUCUUACCAUAAAUAAUUGAAUUUACUAAUUAAGUGAAAAUUCUUAUAACAAUAUAAUAGACGAGAAGACCCUAGAAAUUUUAUAUAUUUAUGUGAUUACAUAGGCUAUUUUGUUGGGGCGACAGAACAACAUUUAACUUGUUUAUUACUAUUUGACCUUAUUGAAAAGUGUAACUAAAUUACUCUAGGGAUAACAGCAUAAUACAAAAGAGUUUGUGACCUCGAUGUUGGACUAGGAAUAUUAUUGUUUAGAAGAUAAUAAUAAUAGCUCUGUUCGAGCUAAAAUUCCUACGUGAUC
RNAcentral lists this ribosomal RNA (440 nucleotides) under Pyrenaearia cantabrica. Its description in RNAcentral is "partial 16S ribosomal RNA". It matches the Rfam family "Archaeal large subunit ribosomal RNA", at positions 1903 to 2674 of the family's 2987-position model. The record is from RNAcentral. Lineage: Eukaryota; Metazoa; Mollusca; Gastropoda; Stylommatophora; Hygromiidae.